GACGAACGCUGGCGGCGUGCUUAACACAUGCAAGUCGAACGCUGAAGCUUGGUGCUUGCACUGGGUGGAUGAGUGGCGAACGGGUGAGUAAUACGUGAGUAACCUGCCCUUGACUCUGGGAUAAGCCUGGGAAACUGGGUCUAAUACUGGAUACGACAUGCCACUGCAUGGUGGUGUGUGGAAAGGGUUUUACUGGUUUUGGAUGGGCUCACGGCCUAUCAGCUUGUUGGUGGGGUAAUGGCCUACCAAGGCGACGACGGGUAGCCGGCCUGAGAGGGUGACCGGCCACACUGGGACUGAGACACGGCCCAGACUCCUACGGGAGGCAGCAGUGGGGAAUAUUGCACAAUGGGCGGAAGCCUGAUGCAGCGACGCCGCGUGAGGGAUGACGGCCUUCGGGUUGUAAACCUCUUUCAGCACGGAAGAAGCGGGAGUGACGGUACGUGCAGAAGAAGCGCCGGCUAACUACGU
RNAcentral lists this ribosomal RNA (471 nucleotides) under uncultured bacterium. RNAcentral's name for it is "partial 16S ribosomal RNA". It matches the Rfam family "Bacterial small subunit ribosomal RNA", at positions 28 to 506 of the family's 1533-position model. The record is from RNAcentral.